AUUACCUCAGUAACGGCGAGUGAAGCGGUAACAGCUCAAAUUUGAAAUCUGGCCCUUUUAGGGUCCGAGUUGUAAUUUGUAGAAGAUGCUUUGGGCGUGGCUCCGGUCUAAGUUCCUUGGAACAGGACGUCAUAGAGGGUGAGAAUCCCGUAUGUGACUGGUAGCUUUCGCCCGUGUAAAGCUCUUUCGACGAGUCGAGUUGUUUGGGAAUGCAGCUCAAAAUGGGUGGUAAAUUUCAUCUAAAGCUAAAUAUUGGCCAGAGACCGAUAGCGCACAAGUAGAGUGAUCGAAAGAUGAAAAGCACUUUGGAAAGAGAGUUAAACAGUACGUGAAAUUGUUGAAAGGGAAGCGCUUGCAACCAGACUCGCAGGCCGUCGAUCAUCCUGGGUUCUCCCUGGUGCACUCGGCGGUUUUCGGGCCAGCAUCGGUUUGGGUGGUGGGAUAAAGGCCUUGGGAAUGUAGCUCCUCUCGGGGAGUGUUAUAGCCCUCGGUGCAAUGCCGCCUACCUAGACCGAGGACCGCGCUCGGCUAGGAUGCU
This 538-nucleotide ribosomal RNA is filed under the name Lachnellula calyciformis. Its description in RNAcentral is "eukaryotic LSU rRNA". It matches the Rfam family "Eukaryotic large subunit ribosomal RNA", at positions 74 to 627 of the family's 3401-position model. Lineage: Eukaryota; Fungi; Ascomycota; Leotiomycetes; Helotiales; Lachnaceae. The record is from RNAcentral.